AAGAAGAAUCACUAACUCUGCAUGAUGUUGCAGAAAUGAAGGCAACCAGGUUUGCUAAAGUAAUUGUGGUGAUAGAAAUGUAUUAGCCUCAGAAGCUACUGAGGUGGUUCAUUCUAUCCUAGGACAGUG
This is a small nucleolar RNA of Myotis lucifugus (little brown bat), 129 nucleotides long. NCBI's taxonomy places the organism in Eukaryota, Metazoa, Chordata, Mammalia, Chiroptera, Vespertilionidae. The record is from Ensembl.